RNAcentral lists this non-coding RNA (24 nucleotides) under Rattus norvegicus (Norway rat). Lineage: Eukaryota; Metazoa; Chordata; Mammalia; Rodentia; Muridae. The record is from RNAcentral.
GUGUGAUGGGCCUACCAAAGUGCU